AAUCAACGCUGGCGGCGUGCCUAACACAUGCAAGUCGAGCGCGAAAGGGGAGCAAUCCCCAAGUAGAGCGGCGAACGGGUGAGUAACGCGUGGGUAAUCUGCCUCCGAGUGGGGAACAACAUCGGGAAACUGGUGCUAAUACCGCAUAACAUCGUCGGGUUUUCGGAUCUGACGAUCAAAGCCGGGGACCGCAAGGCCUGGCGCUUGGAGAGGAGCCCGCGUCCGAUUAGCUAGUGGUGGGUAAUGGCCUACCAAGGCUUCGAUCGGUAGCCGGCCUGAGAGGGCGGACGGCCACACUGGGACUGAGACACGGCCCAGACUCCUACGGGAGGCAGCAGUGGGGAAUUUUUCGCAAUGGGCGAAAGCCUGACGAAGCAACGCCGCGUGGAGGAUGAAGGCCUCGGUCGUAACUACCU
This 416-nucleotide ribosomal RNA is filed under the name uncultured bacterium. Its description in RNAcentral is "bacterial SSU rRNA". It matches the Rfam family "Bacterial small subunit ribosomal RNA", at positions 29 to 434 of the family's 1533-position model. The record is from RNAcentral.